This is a small nuclear RNA of Hemicordylus capensis (graceful crag lizard), 104 nucleotides long. The record is from RefSeq and is a predicted model, not a curated record. Lineage: Eukaryota; Metazoa; Chordata; Lepidosauria; Squamata; Cordylidae.
UGUUUCUUCAGCAGCAAACAUACAAAGUUUGAAUGAUUCACAGAAGAUAAGCAAGGCCCCUGUGCAAGGAGGACACACAAGUUACUUAAGCGUUCCUUAAUUUU